UGCCUAGUGUGUUUGAAUCAGCUGGA
This 26-nucleotide non-coding RNA is filed under the name Homo sapiens (human). The record is from RNAcentral. Lineage: Eukaryota; Metazoa; Chordata; Mammalia; Primates; Hominidae.